UGGGGAAUUUUGGACAAUGGGCGAAAGCCUGAUCCAGCAAUGCCGCGUGUGUGAAGAAGGCCUUCGGGUUGUAAAGCACUUUUGUCCGGAAAGAAAUCCUUGGCUCUAAUACAGUCGGGGGAUGACGGUACCGGAAGAAUAAGCACCGGCUAACUACGUGCCAGCAGCCGCGGUAAUACGUAGGGUGCAAGCGUUAAUCGGAAUUACUGGGCGUAAAGCGUGCGCAGGCGGUUUGCUAAGACCGAUGUGAAAUCCCCGGGCUCAACCUGGGGAACUGCAUUGGUGACUGGGCAGGCUAGAGUAUGGCAGAGGGGGGUAGAAUUCCACGUGUAGCAGUGAAAUGCGUAGAGAUGUGGAGGAAUACCGAUGGCGAAGGCAGCCCCCUGGGCCAAUACUGACGCUCAUGCACGAAAGCGUGGGGAGCAAACAGGAUUAGAUACCCUGGUAGUCCAGCGCCCUAAACGAUGUCAACUAGUUGUUGGGAUUCAUUUCCUAGUAACGUAGCUAACGCGUGAAGUUGACCGCCUGGGGAGUACGGUCGCAAGAUU
This 548-nucleotide ribosomal RNA is filed under the name uncultured bacterium. RNAcentral's name for it is "partial 16S ribosomal RNA". It matches the Rfam family "Bacterial small subunit ribosomal RNA", at positions 355 to 895 of the family's 1533-position model. The record is from RNAcentral.